This 258-nucleotide ribosomal RNA is filed under the name uncultured bacterium. Its description in RNAcentral is "partial 16S ribosomal RNA". It matches the Rfam family "Bacterial small subunit ribosomal RNA", at positions 793 to 1050 of the family's 1533-position model. The record is from RNAcentral.
GUCCACACCGUAAACGCUGUCUAUUAGCUGUUUGUGUAUCUGAUACGUGAGUAGCGAAGCUAACGCGCUAAAUAGACCGCCUGGGGAGUACGGCCGCAAGGUUAAAACUCAAAUGAAUUGACGGGGGCCCGCACAAGCGGUGGAGCAUGUGGUUUAAUUCGAUGCAACGCGAAGAACCUUACCUACACUUGACAUCCAGAGAACUUAGCAGAGAUGCUUUGGUGCCUUCGGGAACUCUGAGACAGGUGCUGCAUGGCU